This is a long non-coding RNA of Thunnus maccoyii (southern bluefin tuna), 3999 nucleotides long. RefSeq lists it as uncharacterized. The record is from RefSeq and is a predicted model, not a curated record. Lineage: Eukaryota; Metazoa; Chordata; Actinopteri; Scombriformes; Scombridae. The transcript has 3 exons.
UCUAUCUUUCUAUCUCUCUCUCUCUGCUCUCCCUUUCUUCAUUUUUCACAUUACCCCCUUGUGUCCCCCAUUGCUCCCCCCUCCUCACACGUUCCUAUCUCACACCCUAAGGUCUCGGGGGUCACUCCCUCCAAGGUGAUUCGUAAACAGCAGCUUGCUGAGAAAUCAAUACUUUAUCAACAAGCCACAAGGGGCUUUUGCACUUAUCCUAUAUGAUCUUUGUGGUAAAGGCCUCUGAGCAUCCAUCUCCUCCGCUGGUCCGCUCCCUAAGCUCUGUUGCUAAGACAAUCAGAAGAAAAGAGAGAGGGAUGAAGAGAGGAGGGGCCACAGGAGGAGAGGAGAGAGGCAAAGGAGAAGGGAUUGUGCGGGGUCUAGAGGCUCACUGUUAGAGGAGGGAUUUGCUGCUCUGCUGCUUUUAGCUUGAUCUGCAUCUGAUUAAGGAGAGAGGGCAGAGUGUUGUCCUUCACCCCCAUGCUCCCAUGUCCCACCAUUAUGUACCCUGGCACUGAGAUCCAUCAUCCACCUACCACAGGCCUGGCUGCCAUAGCCUGGGGACUUAUUAGACCAGCCCUGCUCUGUUCAACACAGCCCCACUCUGCAUACCAUGGAGGGUAGAAAGCCUCUCCUGAUGUAACAUACUGUAUAUUUACCAUGCAUGUCAAUGACUAGAAAAACACGAAGAAUAUGUACAUAUAUAAAAGCACAUACAUAUAUGUGCUAGGACUAUCAUAUUUGCUACAUGCUUUGGAUUAUUAAAAAGAAAAAAUCAAUUCAGACCUGCAGAGGUCCUCUGACACUCAUGCUAUCACCAAACGUGUAGCAUUUUGCAUUAUCCAAAUUGGACGACUGUAUGAAGAUAUGUCAGUGCUGCUCAAAAUACAGUUUCAAACCAUAACAGGAAAUGUAAAUGUGACUUUCCUGCCAUUAAAACCUCAGCUGACUGCAUCCUUCACCCACACACUUUCUUAAAGGUUAAAUCGUUAAUUCAAACUUUAGAAGACAGUUGUAGCACCAAAAAAAAGAUAAACAGGAAGCAUUUUUCAAAUGUACUGACACAGCUACUCAGUGCUUUUUACAAGCAUCAAAAUGAUGGUAAGUUAGGGUUUAAUUCAGCUCUAAACAACAAGGUUGCGGAGGAUUGUCUCUGUUCUCUGUGCCGUCUCGCUCCCAGUGGGUCUCGUCCAAUAAGCCUGCAUCAAACCCGUCAAACUGAGAGUGAAAAGUGGAAGAGGCCGGCAUGUGCAAACAUCAAUCCUAAAUUUCCAGCCUCAAUACCAUCAUGACCUUGGUUUGGAAUGACAUCUAUUUGCUGGCUGGCUGCACACAUCUCUUUGCAAAUUGUAUGGGCCAGGCUAAUUUGUUUUUAUGCACGUUUAGUCAAGAAUGUGAUGCCACGUUAGCUUUUGGGAGCACUGCCAGUAUGGUGCGGGGUUCCGAGUGACAGACAGAAAAAGGGUGAUUGAGGAUGAUUGUUCUGCCGGUUGUGUUGAUAUAUGAAAAGAAAGACCCACUGAACACAUCCUGGAAUGGAUUCACAGCAGAUAGAAGUCCUUCUGGGACCACCUAAAGCUGAAUAUCAUCAUCUGUCCACGGAAAUAGACAACGACCUUUAAAGCUCAAAUCGGAGAGUGAAGACAGGUGCUGGGUAGUAACUCAACAAAUCUUACAGUCAAGUACCGUGUCAUAAAAAGCGGUGUAAAAAUUUUUUAAGCAUGAAUCACUCUGAGCAAAGAAAGAUUAUGGACAAAAAAAAAUGUACAUGAAAAAAAAAGAAAACUUGUCAAGCCUGUCUGCAGUACGCUCCCUUGACCUGCCGGGAAAACAAUCGCUGUGCCCUCACUAAACUGAAAUGUAAACACCGUUCAUGCAGGAAAAUAUUUGCCUUCCUCAUAGCUGAAUUGACCUCUCAGCUACAGUCAACCUCAAGCUGUUGUUUCAUUAUCUCGUCAGCUGGUAUCAUGCUGUCUUGGUUGUAUGUGCAGAGGUUUUAAAAUAUCAGCCUCUGAAACAUGUGCCACCAGCCAAUACAAUGGAGCUUCGUUUGUUCUGCUGAAGGGACUGAAAAGUUACCUCUGCAAAAUUUAACAGCAACACCCUUUUCUAUACACAAUGUCCCAGUUACUCAGGAUUAUCCACAGACCUCGCUGUCUUUGGGACUAUUUCUUUAGUAGAAGUGAUGGCAGGAAUGUCAGAGACAGAUAUCCCUGCAGGUAAGACCCUUUAAUUUGAACUUAAUACACCCUUUAUAUCAGUCUGAAUUCUGUCAAAAUUACUUAAUACAGUAUAUAAAAGUUGUGUGCUGCAAAUUUGUUUCACAGAUAAACACUGUACAAUAUAAAGAUCCAGUGAAAUUAGACAAAAAUAUCCUGUUCCCCCUACAUUAAUUGUUUUGUUAUCUCUUGGUAUGUUUUUGAUGACUCAUCCUGCACUUUAAUGUGAUUUGGGGUGACCGCUUAACCCCUCCUAUCAUAUAAAACCAUCACAUAACUUGACCAUUAGCUCAUGGGCUCUAGUAGCUAGCAGAGUCAUAUCAUGGGUUGCAGGUGUGUUUGGAUAUCAGCUAGCAAAAACUUUGUUUAAGCUUUCUUUGUCUCCAAAAGAGCAUGGUUGCGGUCUAAUUUAUUCAUUUCUCCCUCGUCCUCCACCGCCUGAUGUAACAAGAGGGGUGACGGUGAAAAUUCUCAUGCUUGCUAAACCAUUUCCACUUUUUUGCAAUCCAGUCAAAUCCCUUAACAAUUAGGACAAAUCCCUCUCGAGAUGAUGUCCUACCCACAUGUUCAGUUUCACUUUGUAAUAUGUCUCGUUACAGAAGCUGAACACGGUGCCACCUCACUGGGCCUUUAAAGUUGAAAAAACAUAAACGGCUUGCAAAAAGUGAAAAACACUGAGAACUUGAGAUGAUCAAACAGUCUAAAAAUGUGUUCAUGUGUAAACAAAAAAAAAUGCAGGGUCAUUAGACAAAAACCUGGCUCGACUUUGCUGCAAUGCAACAUCACCUGGUAAUGUACUUCUUUGACCAAUCAAAUACACGCAAUUAAAUUACCUUCUCAUAUUUCCUCUGUUUACCUAUAACUUUCCAGAGUUUCACAAUCUUGUCUCGUAGUAACAUAAAAGAGUCUGCAGUGUUUUGUUAUUUGAUCAAGCUUCAGAUUCAUGUAAGUAUUAUUAAACUACACUUGCUGGCUGUAUUAUCUUUCAUCAUCUCACCAGUACCUGUAGGAACACGCCAAACCAAAGCAGCAUCUUGUAUUUUUUGACAUUUUUGAUCACCUAUUCUCACUCCUGCACCAAACAACACCACUAUUGCCACCACGCACCUUUGAUCUUGAAUGUGGAAAUAAUUGCCAUAUCCUACAACGCAAUGAAACGUGGCCUUUUUUGGUUAGUGUUGGUUGAGCAUGGAGUAGUCUACUUCAAUGAAUCCUAACUUGUAUCCAUUUGUCCUUGUGUAUGAGAAUUCAACAUGCUCUCAGGUCCACAGAUAAUAGAUGUCCUUUCAUGCAUGGGAGGCCUGAUAGCCACACACUGGCCUCAUACCCUUUGGCUGCCCAAGGCUACUCCUCGCCCACAUCAAGUGAAACGUUCGACCAACAUUUGAUUGAAACUGGAAUGAAGAGAUACAAGAGCAUGUGAUAUGGCUUCAGGGACGGAGUGCAGUUUCGACGCAAUCUCACAGACGGAGUGAUAUCAGAAAUAUCAGCUCCUCCGUCCCUCCAUCCGUCACUCUGCUGUCCUGAGGCGAGUGGGCAGGAGCCGGGCUGACUGUACAAGAGGUCUUGUAGGGGUGACCACUCCCUGCUGUCUGCUCAGCUCGCAUUUGUUUGAUGACAUAACUGUGCAUUUAAAAGUCAAAUUGGUUGUGUGUGUGCAAUGAUCUGUUAUUUCAUAGAAGGUAACAUUAUUGUUUAUGCAGAUAUUCAGUUCUAAUCAUUGGAAUUCAUUUGGUCUGAUGACUGGUUCCUCACUUUUUCUAAAUGGCUCACUAGCUGGCCAAAUAAA